ACACUGGAGAGACGAACUGCUAGGCAGUCGAGCCUGGUGGAGCCUUGACGAGUUUCAAGCUGCGUUGAUUGCAAGGCAUGAGAAUGUCGAGAGUAUAGAGAGAAAAAGAGUUUGAGGUACUGGGUGAUCUGUUCGCGCGUGGAGAGAUGGAAAAGACUGACAUGGCGGGGCAAAGCCGGCUUACAACACGGCGAAUACCGCGCUCAAGGUUUAGUUGCCACUGGUCGGACUGUGGGUUCGGAGUGUUUUAUUUUUUUAUUUGUCUUAAAUAUAAAUCAAUUUUUUUUAAGUGUUCCGAAAUAUAUCAUCUGAAACUAUUAAUUAUGAAAAUUUUUUAUAAUAAGCAAUGCUAUAUUAUUAUUAAACUGAUCUUGUGUUAACUAAAAAUGUGAAAUACAAUAUUAGAAAGCCAACAUAUUAGUGUUGGUAAGGUUAAGUUUGAGGUCAUAAAUUAAUGAAAUAAUUGUUACAUUAAUUUCACUGAGAAGGAGUUACUGAUAUUGUCUGGGUGAAUAAACAGUUGGAAUCUUCAAGGCAGAUGACGUGGAACCGGUUAAGGUCAUUCGCGUGAAGCACGAAGACCGCAUGCUUUCCUUCUACGUUAUCUCUAGCCACCAUAAGUUUCUCUGGAACUUAUAUAUAUAUAUAUAUAUACAUGCAUAGUUGAAGAAUGUGCUUCAUCAUUUCCAACUUCUGUAUCAGAAUAUGUUUUCAUCCAAUGAAUUAUUAAAUUAUCAAGACAAAAUGUGAUUUGAUUUUAUGUUAUAUAUGUGAAUUAUUGCUAUUUACACCCGCGCAUUUCUUGGUGACUUAUCGUGUUCUUAUCUUUGGCAUCCUUUUUGUAUUUAAAAGUUAAUAGUGAAAAAAUUUCACAAGUGUAAAGUGAAUAUAAACAGCCCUAUUCUGGAUUUAAUGUUUAACAACGAAUUCAUUAGAGAUUAACAACAAUAUUCUUCCAAGCCUACUGAGGUAACAUACUCUGCAGUGAAAAGUUAUGUAAACCACAAAAUCCUCUGCACUUGGCUGAUAGUUUCACAAAGCCCGUCAAAGUGAGGUGAUCUAUGCGGAAGGAAGAAUGAAAUGACAACGGAUUGUUUCCUCGCUAAAUGAGUCCUUCAAUCCCAUUGAUGGCAAAGCUGUCGUAUAAGAUUCUCAACCAACUUCAAAAAAAAUUGUCUUCCUACAGAAUUCAACUAAAAAUAUAAAUCUCAGAUAGGUACAGCAAAAGUUUCACGUCAUUGCCGAAAUCAAACAUCAUAUUUAUAGUUAAAUCAAUCAUAUAAUCUUUUGAGCCUAUGGACGAGUUAAUGAUGAGCUAUAGAUCAUGUGAAGGGUUAUUGUAUCGAUUUCUUGAACGUGAGAAAGUUCUUUACAUAAACUUUAUGCUAAUAGGUGAGAAUGUCUCACGGCGUUCUCACGAGUUUACUUUUCAAGGGGAGAGCAAGGAAUAUUAAUAGACUAAAGCAUAACCAUCAGUGGCUUGCCUGAAGAAGAUAAGUAUUUUACAUUAAGGGUCUAAAGGGUUAAGAUGGAAGAAAAUGCGUAUAAAUUUGUAAGCUGGAACAUAGUUAUGCUUACCAAACUGCAACUGAUUAGCAUUCCAGUAUUAUUGUAAUUAACAUUUUGAAACACGUUAAGCUCUACUUUAUGCUCCUUACAUAUCAAAAAUACGUUUAUUUUUCGUUAAAUAAAUUGCUAUUAUUAUUAUGUCAUAUAAGGUUAUUUAAAAAAUGUUUUCAAGCUACUAUUUCUUGAGAGAAUUGAUUUUCUUUCAAUUUUAAGGUUUUUUUCAUAUAUCCAUUGCAAUGAACUUUUCAAGAAAAAAAUCAUAUCAUGUUUUAAAAAGAAAGUAAUAUUUAGAAAAAUUAAAUUUUCAAAAAUGAAAUUAAAAUUAAAAUUUAUGGGAAAUUUCUAUUGUAAAAAAUAAAAAUAAAUUCCUCCAAUAUGGAGGUCUCAAAAUUUGACUUUCCAUAAGUUUUAAGUAAACAAACUGAAACUAAAAAGAAGAGGAUACUUACUUGCAUUCAGGAAAAUUCAGAUACAUAUUAACAAUAGCUCAGGUAGUCGGCGACUUUAGGGGAAUGACGUCAGAUAUUGAGGGGAGCGAUUGCCUGAAUAAUAACAUGGAAUCCUAUUAACAUCUAAUUAAUUUUCGAACUACAAUAUUAAAUUUUUAAUUUUCUUCAACUAUAAUCAGAAUUUUUUUAUUACCUUUAUCAAAAAAAUUGUUUAAAUAUUAGUUAAAACUUUUUUUUAUUAAAAAUCUAAAUCCAUUUUUGAAAAGAGAAGAAAAAAUAACAUAAAAUCGAAAAUGAAAUAUUCAAAUCGGUUAAUAAUUAACCAACUUACAACAAAUUUUGUAAAUUUUAACGGGCGAAUCCAAUUUUGUGACGGGCGUCUGUUUCCCCGCUCCGUCGUUGGGAGCAUGGACAAAUAUAGGAUAAAAAUUCUUUACAAUUUUUUAUUUUAGUACACAAAUUAAACUUUAAGUACUGUGUAAAUUUCAAAUAUAGCUUUAGGAAUUUUUUGAAAAAAAAAAUUAUUAUUUUUUUUAAAGUAAAAUGAAUUAGUAAAAAUGUUUACUAAUUUGAAUUAGUGACUCACUUUUUGCUUCUGAAUUAGUAAAAUUUUACUAACAAUUAGUAAAAUUCAACUAAUUCAGAAGCAAAAAGUGACUGACUAAUUGAAAUUAGUAAACCUUUUCACUAAUUUAGAUUUAGAGAGUAAAAACUAGCCGAGUAAUUGCAAUUGUUUAUAUCUAAAAAUCGUACCUUUUUUUGUUAAUAAUCGAUUUUUAUGCAAUUAAAUAAUAAAAUUCGAUUAACGUAUAUGAUAGAAUAUCACUCUUAAAAAGUAAAAUGGUUUUUAAAUAACAAAUUGAAUAAUUUAAAAAUUAUUCAUCCAUUCAGGUUCGAAGUUUUUUCAAUUUGUUUGGUAUCGCGAGGGGCACAUUUUCGUCAAGUUUCAAUCAGAUUGGAUUAUUAUUAACAAACUUAUUAAACAAUUAAAAAAGCACCAUUUUUAAUCGUUUAAAUUCAAUGACUUUUAAACAAAUAUUUAAUGUUUAACUUUAGACCCACCAUUUAUACCUCCUUUUUUAAUCACCACUUUUUCUUCUAAAAUGUAGAUGAAAGCAAUGAGCACCAAAAAACCGCCGCAUCUUUUACCAACCGGACAUCGAGAGCAAACUAAGGGUCCUUCAUAUUUCCCACCAAAAUUACCAAAAUCCGUUUAGAACAGGCUGUUUACAUUUAAUGGCAUUUUUUGUCUUUAUUGACUGGCCUAUAUUUAAACAUUAAAAAAAUGUGUCAAUUAUGAAUUCUUAAAAAAGAAAAGAAUAUCUACUUAUGUUGUUUUUUGCAUCAACUUGUCGAUUUUAGUAGGUUUGUUUAACGUAUUCUUAUUUUGUAUGCGUUGAACCUGAAGGUUCGAUCCCUUAUACCUCCAAAUGAUUUUUUUCAUGCAAUAUUAAGUUAGUAUAAAAAUUUUAAAUAACUUAAUAAUAAUAAUUAAUAAUAAAAAUAAAGUAUAAUGGUUUUUUUUAAAUUACGUAUUCAACAACCCGUGUAGAAAUUUAUCGUGGACCUGCACACUGACACUGUUCAAAAAUGCAAAAAUAUGGAACACUAGAUUUAUAAAUUUGAUUUUUUCAGGACAGGUUUUUUCAGAAUAAAUUUCCACGACAAAUACUGUCUAGCAUUAGUCUAUUUCUAGGAAGGCCACGAUAAAUUUCUACACGGGAAAUUAUAAGAAUUUUUAUCACACACACAACUUUUUAAAUUUUGUUAAAAAUAAUUUAAUAUCUCUCCUCUUGCCUAUAGAUAUAUGCAUAUACUUCUUUCCUGAGUUCUAGAGAAAAGUUAUAGUCUCAUUUUUGUUGCAACUCAAAAUGAGUUAAUGCUAAACGACAUAGACAGUGGCGCCACUAACCUGGAUCAUUUGUGGUCCACUACAAAAUGAGUAGCGUACGCUACUCAUUUUUUUCCAGAUUCAUACCUGGAAUUUCAGUUCAUUUUUUUUCCAGACCAGGUUUUUUCUGUGUACAUAUACAUAUAUAAGCACAACAUAUGUAUAAUAUAUAUAUAUGCGUAUGUAUAAGUAGGGGAGGACUUAAGAUACGAGAAGAGGGUGUUGCGUAUGGGUUUGACUAUAUGGGCGGUAUGUUAGGGGAUGCAUAGGCAUAGGAUACGAAGUAUUUGUGUAUACGUAGAAAAGACCACCCUCGAUUGAGCGAGCGCCAUUCCUAAGAGCUCACCACGCCCGGCAUCAUAUGAAGUAAAGGGAAAAUUGUUCUUGAAGGGACAUUUUUUAAAUAAAUAUUAAAAUAUAAAGAUCCAUUUUUGUUUUUGAAAUUUCCAUUUCUUAAGAAAAUUCUUCUAAAAAUUAUUAUUGAUAACUCUAAAAUUGAUGUAGGCAGCAGGAGAAAAUAAGCUAAAAUGUUAAAAUGUAAAGCACGUUUACACUUAUUGACAUAUAUGUUUCUGGAUGCUUCUUCACCGGGGGCUUAUACAUAUGAGAAGAAACACGGGAAUAGUACAACUGUUUAAGGUAUAGAUCCAGCAGCGAGGUAUAGAGUUCCUACGUAAUAUUUCAAAGUAGGAACUUCAUACCGUGCUCUUGGACUUGCCACGAAAUGCUUCAUAAUAUAUUCUGCGUCUGUAAAGAUUAAAUGCAGUAAGUAUAGCAUUAAUGAUAAGAUUUAUUAUGAGCAUACUGACAUAAUUAUUCCCUAAAUGUAAUUCAUGUGGUAGUAAACCGGAUGGUAAUAAGAAAGUAUUUAAGAAUUUAUAUAACUUGACGAAAUUUACGAUUAUCGUAUUAGUUAUGAGAGUAUUCGCGAUUUCAGCUUGAAACUAUAUACUUACUGUGAUGACUCAGCUACCAGGGACUCGACCUGUCAAAAUCAUCUGUGAGACCAGAAUGAACGUUACUUCCUCUGUUGAUCUAAGGAAAAUGUAUAGUUGACAAAUGACAGAACAAAGCUGCCACUGAGAGAAAUGGAUUGUAAGAUUUUGAUGGUUAAAAGAUGUUAUCUUUAAUGAUAGAAUCUAGAUAUAUAGCUAUAGUACCUGAUACCCCGUAUCAUCUAUUUCUCUCCGUGAUCAAGUCUGUAAAAGCAUAUAUGAAGGACUAUUAGAACGUCGCUAAAAAGUAUACUUUUUAGUAGGUAUACUUUCGCGAACUUUGUGUAGAAAAAUCGUUUUCUUAACGUUUUUCGAACUAUUUCGAACUAUUUCAUAAGAAAAAUUUCCAAAAAUUUUUACAGUGUAUAUAUAUAGGAAUAUAUAUAUAUUUGACAAUGGUAUUUCGUCGUAGGAACCCCACACAAUCAUUAAAGAUCGACUACAAUCAUAUUAUUUUAUGUUUUCAAUUAUUUUGUUAAAAAUUUAUGGUUUUUUUAUUUCUUGCUUCUAUCAAAAAAAUAAUGUUACAUAAUAGCCAUUCUACAAUUUUGAAUGUUUUAAAGUUCUUUAAAUAUUGAAAUAUAGACUUUUUUAUCAAUUCAAACGUAUGAACUAUAACUACUAAUUGUUUUAGCACUUGCAAAAGUGGGAAAUUGUUGUUUAAAAAAUUUUUAAAUAUCUUUUUUGAUUUCAGCAAUAAUUUUCUGAAUUAUAGAAGUUGUUUUUGUUCUAGCAGAUGCAAGGUGAUGAGCAAUUUUCGAAUUUGGAAAAAUAACUAUACAUAGUUUAUAUUGAACUAACUUUUAUGACUUAUAACAACGAAUGAAGGCGGCUAAUCAGAUUCACAUAUAUAUUUAACUGAGCAGGAUUAUCCCCUUCAACACGGAACAAUAUCACACUCCACGAGGUUCUGUUUUGAAAAGGACGUCUCCAGAUUCAUUUUCAAAAAAGGAAAACAGACGAGGAAGAUUUAUUGGCUAUAUAUGGUGACGUGAUAGGACAUUACUUAAUGCUGCGCAACAACAAUUUUUAAAUGAAGCCAACAAUAGAUUAUUAUAAAUCUUAUAUAAAAGAUAAUCAAGCGAUACUAAGAUUAUUAAGAAAGUUCUGUCCUAAAGUAUAUAAAAUUUACAUAUAUAUAUAGUAUAACAUUGUCAAGCGGUAUUAUGAACAAGAAUAUAUCUUGUCAUAUUACAACGAAUAUAUAUAGUUAAGACCAAAUUAGAAUAAAAUUUUGAAAUAAAUACAAGUACAGACAAUAACGAAGUAAAUGGACUAAAAUAUAAACAUUGUUAUAAUUAGUAAAAUACAUGAUGCCUACAUAUAGUAAUAAUUUGGUAAACAAUGUAGUUUACAAAUUAGGAUAUACAAUUGUUUUAAAACAAUUGACCGUUUUUGAAACGAGAUAUUUAAGUUGAAAGUUUGUUAGUUUAACACUGUUAGCCUAUGUAGUGGGCAUAUAAAUAAUAUAUACAUUUCUCUCAAUGACUUUUAAAAUUUUCUAUAGAUUGUUUUUAAAAACUAGUAUGUUAUAAAUAAAUAUUUAUAGAAAUUAAAAUAAAGAGAAUCAACAACAUUGACCGCGUUUCGUUUAAGAGAUAUAAAGAGUUCAAAAAUUAUUAACUUUGAGGUUAAUGCAUUGUGAGAUUAGGGGAAGUAUACUAUUAACACCAGCAUGAGCACGUGUAUAUAUAUAUGUAUAGUGGCUAAAGAUAUGUUAUAAUUUUUAAGUUUACUAUUAAACUUUAUUUUUGGAAGUGACGACUGCUGCAAGUAUAAU
Leptopilina boulardi is the source of this 6684-nucleotide long non-coding RNA. RefSeq lists it as uncharacterized. The record is from RefSeq and is a predicted model, not a curated record. The transcript is spliced from 4 exons. Lineage: Eukaryota; Metazoa; Arthropoda; Insecta; Hymenoptera; Figitidae.